Molecule: transfer RNA, 72 nt
Filed under: archaeon
Lineage: Archaea
Also listed under: 3 other names
Description: tRNA-Gly
Rfam family: tRNA
About the family: Transfer RNA (tRNA) molecules are approximately 80 nucleotides in length. Their secondary structure includes four short double-helical elements and three loops (D, anti-codon, and T loops). Further hydrogen bonds mediate the characteristic L-shaped molecular structure. tRNAs have two regions of fundamental functional importance: the anti-codon, which is responsible for specific mRNA codon recognition, and the 3' end, to which the tRNAs corresponding amino acid is attached (by aminoacyl-tRNA synthetases). tRNAs cope with the degeneracy of the genetic code in two manners: having more than one tRNA (with a specific anti-codon) for a particular amino acid; and 'wobble' base-pairing, i.e. permitting non-standard base-pairing at the 3rd anti-codon position.
Source: RNAcentral
GCGCCGGUGGUCUAGUGGCUAUGACCCGAGCCUUCCAAGCUCGUAACCCGGGUUCGAGUCCCGGUCGGCGCA